RNAcentral lists this ribosomal RNA (394 nucleotides) under uncultured bacterium. RNAcentral's name for it is "partial 16S ribosomal RNA". It matches the Rfam family "Bacterial small subunit ribosomal RNA", at positions 523 to 918 of the family's 1533-position model. The record is from RNAcentral.
AUACGUAGGGGACGAGCGUUGUCCGGAAUUACUGGGCGUAAAGGGCGCGCAGGCGGAUAUUUAAGUCAGCUGUAAAAGGAAUGAGCUCAACUCAUGUAUGCGGUUGAAACUGGGUAUCUAGAGUGCUGGAGAGGUAGGCGGCAUUCCCGGUGUAGCGGUGAAAUGCGUAGAUAUCGGGAAGAAAACCAGUGGCGAAGGCGGCUUACUGGCCAGCAACUGACGCUGAGGCGCGAAAGCCAGGGGAGCGAACGGGAUUAGAUACCCCGGUAGUCCUGGCCGUAAACGAUGAAUGCUAGGUGUGGGUGUCGAGAGGCAUCCGUGCCUGAGUUAACGCGAUAAGCAUUCCGCCUGGGGAGUACGGUCGCAAGAUUGAAACUCAAAUGAAUUGGCGGGG